RNAcentral lists this transfer RNA (68 nucleotides) under Androsace cylindrica. RNAcentral's name for it is "tRNA-Gly". It matches the Rfam family "tRNA". From Rfam's summary of the family: Transfer RNA (tRNA) molecules are approximately 80 nucleotides in length. Their secondary structure includes four short double-helical elements and three loops (D, anti-codon, and T loops). Further hydrogen bonds mediate the characteristic L-shaped molecular structure. tRNAs have two regions of fundamental functional importance: the anti-codon, which is responsible for specific mRNA codon recognition, and the 3' end, to which the tRNAs corresponding amino acid is attached (by aminoacyl-tRNA synthetases). tRNAs cope with the degeneracy of the genetic code in two manners: having more than one tRNA (with a specific anti-codon) for a particular amino acid; and 'wobble' base-pairing, i.e. permitting non-standard base-pairing at the 3rd anti-codon position. The record is from RNAcentral. Lineage: Eukaryota; Viridiplantae; Streptophyta; Magnoliopsida; Ericales; Primulaceae.
AUAGUCUAAUGGUAAAAUUUCUCUUUGCCAAGGAGAAAACGCGGGUUCGAUUCCCGCUAUCCGCCACA